CAGUCGCCGCGGGAAUACGAAGGGUGCAAGCGUUACUCGGAAUUACUGGGCGUAAAGCGUGCGUAGGUGGUGGUUUAAGUCCGUUGUGAAAGCCCUGGGCUCAACCUGGGAAUUGCAGUGGAUACUGGGUCACUAGAGUGUGGUAGAGGAUAGUGGAAUUUCCGGUGUAGCAGUGAAAUGCGUAGAGAUCGGAAGGAACAUCUGUGGCGAAGGCGACUAUCUGGGCCAACACUGACACUGAGGCACGAAAGCGUGGGGAGCAAACAGGAUUAGAUACCCCCUAGUCCUGUCUCUUAUACAC
RNAcentral lists this ribosomal RNA (301 nucleotides) under uncultured bacterium. Its description in RNAcentral is "partial 16S ribosomal RNA". It matches the Rfam family "Bacterial small subunit ribosomal RNA", at positions 509 to 810 of the family's 1533-position model. The record is from RNAcentral.